This is a non-coding RNA of Pelobates cultripes (western spadefoot toad), 327 nucleotides long. The record is from the annotation of a GenBank genome assembly. NCBI's taxonomy places the organism in Eukaryota, Metazoa, Chordata, Amphibia, Anura, Pelobatidae.
CUAGCUCCCUUAAUGAUGAUGGCCAUGAACAAUCUCUACGGUCUUAAGGUGAUCUAUCUUCCAGGUUCAGAGAACGUGACUGUGGACUUCCUCAGCAGAACAGAAAUUCUUCCAGGAGAAUGGAAACUUCACCCGGCAGUCUUCGCAUGGAUUGUCCAUUGGUGGGGCAGGCCCCAGAUUGACCUGAUGGCGUCCUCCCAGAAUCAUCAGGUGGAGAAUUACUUCUCCCUCCACCCGGACAGUCAGGCAAUGGGCCAGGAUGCUCUCUCUCUUCCUUGGUCAUUCGAUCUGGGGUAUGCGUUCCCUCCCCUACCCAUGAUACCCAGG